ACGCACGCUGGCGGCGUGCUUCACCCAUGCAAGUCGCACGGAAAGGCCCUGCUUGCAGGGUACUCGAGUGGCGAACGGGUGAGUAACACGUGGGUGAUCUGCCCUGCACUUCGGGAUAAGCCUGGGAAACUGGGUCUAAUACCGGAUAGGAGCCAUUUUUAGUGUGAUGGUUGGAAAGUUUUUUCGGUGUAGGAUGAGCUCGCGGCCUAUCAGCUUGUUGGUGGGGUAAUGGCCUACCAAGGCGGCGACGGGUAGCCGGCCUGAGAGGGUGGACGGCCACAUUGGGACUGAGAUACGGCCCAGACUCCUACGGGAGGCAGCAGUGGGGAAUAUUGCACAAUGGGCGCAAGCCUGAUGCAGCGACGCCGCGUGGGGGAUGACGGCCUUCGGGUUGUAAACUCCUUUCGCUAGGGACGAAGCUUUUUGUGACGGUACCUAGAUAAGAAGCACCGGCUAACUACGUG
This 464-nucleotide ribosomal RNA is filed under the name uncultured bacterium. RNAcentral's name for it is "partial 16S ribosomal RNA". It matches the Rfam family "Bacterial small subunit ribosomal RNA", at positions 29 to 507 of the family's 1533-position model. The record is from RNAcentral.